UACGUAGGGCGCAAGCGUUAUCCGGAAUUAUUGGGCGUAAAGAGCUCGUAGGCGGUUUGUUGCGUCGGCCGUGAAAACCUGCAGCUUAACUGUGGGCCUGCGGCCGAUACGGGCAGACUUGAGUUCGGUAGGGGAGACUGGAAUUCCUGGUGUAGCGGUGAAAUGCGCAGAUAUCAGGAGGAACACCGGUGGCGAAGGCGGGUCUCUGGGCAUGUCCUGACGCUGAGGAGCGAAAGUGUGGGGAGCGAACAGG
RNAcentral lists this ribosomal RNA (253 nucleotides) under uncultured bacterium. Its description in RNAcentral is "partial 16S ribosomal RNA". It matches the Rfam family "Bacterial small subunit ribosomal RNA", at positions 524 to 776 of the family's 1533-position model. The record is from RNAcentral.